RNAcentral lists this long non-coding RNA (232 nucleotides) under Chinchilla lanigera (long-tailed chinchilla). RNAcentral describes it as "lncRNA (ENSCLAG00000022853.1)". Lineage: Eukaryota; Metazoa; Chordata; Mammalia; Rodentia; Chinchillidae. The record is from RNAcentral.
CCGCGGCCCCGCGGCGGGCAGCGCGCCUGCUCCUGCCCGCGGCACCUGCUCGGGAGGGAGACGUCGCAGCGCGUGUGGCACCUUCGCGGGCUGCCGGCUCGAACCCCGCCGUUUCGGAGGCGAUGGCAGCAGGUGAGGAUAAAAGCCUUUAUAAUCAAAAUAACAAGUUAAAAAUGUUUCCUUCACUGGACUGCAGAAAGAGAAAAGGUAAUUUCAAAAGCCAGUAGUGUGC